GGCGGGAUAGCUCAGUAGGUAGAGCACAUGACUGAAAAUCAUGGUGUCCCCGGUUCGAAUCCGGGUCCCGCCA
This 73-nucleotide transfer RNA is filed under the name Actinomycetota bacterium. RNAcentral's name for it is "tRNA-Phe". It matches the Rfam family "tRNA". From Rfam's summary of the family: Transfer RNA (tRNA) molecules are approximately 80 nucleotides in length. Lineage: Bacteria; Bacillati; Actinomycetota. The record is from RNAcentral.